AAAUUGAAGAGUUUGAUCAUGGCUCAGAUUGAACGCUGGCGGCAGGCCUAACACAUGCAAGUCGAGCGGUAGCACAGAGAGCUUGCUCUCGGGUGACGAGCGGCGGACGGGUGAGUAAUGUCUGGGAAACUGCCUGAUGGAGGGGGAUAACUACUGGAAACGGUAGCUAAUACCGCAUAAUGUCGCAAGACCAAAGUGGGGGACCUUCGGGCCUCAUGCCAUCAGAUGUGCCCAGAUGGGAUUAGCUAGUAGGUGGGGUAACGGCUCACCUAGGCGACGAUCCCUAGCUGGUCUGAGAGGAUGACCAGCCACACUGGAACUGAGACACGGUCCAGACUCCUACGGGAGGCAGCAGUGGGGAAUAUUGCACAAUGGGCGCAAGCCUGAUGCAGCCAUGCCGCGUGUGUGAAGAAGGCCUUCGGGUUGUAAAGCACUUUCAGCGGGGAGGAAGGCGUUAAGGUUAAUAACCUUGGCGAUUGACGUUACCCGCAGAAGAAGCACCGGCUAACUCCGUGCCAGCAGCCGCGGUAAUACGGAGGGUGCAAGCGUUAAUCGGAAUUACUGGGCGUAAAGCGCACGCAGGCGGUCUGUCAAGUCGGAUGUGAAAUCCCCGGGCUCAACCUGGGAACUGCAUUCGAAACUGGCAGGCUAGAGUCUUGUAGAGGGGGUAGAAUUCCAGGUGUAGCGGUGAAAUGCGUAGAGAUCUGGAGGAAUACCGGUGGCGAAGGCGGCCCCCUGGACAAAGACUGACGCUCAGGUGCGAAAGCGUGGGGAGCAAACAGGAUUAGAUACCCUGGUAGUCCACGCCGUAAACGAUGUCGAUUUGGAGGUUGUGCCCUUGAGGCGUGGCUUCCGGAGCUAACGCGUUAAAUCGACCGCCUGGGGAGUACGGCCGCAAGGUUAAAACUCAAAUGAAUUGACGGGGGCCCGCACAAGCGGUGGAGCAUGUGGUUUAAUUCGAUGCAACGCGAAGAACCUUACCUGGUCUUGACAUCCACAGAACUUUCCAGAGAUGGAUUGGUGCCUUCGGGAACUGUGAGACAGGUGCUGCAUGGCUGUCGUCAGCUCGUGUUGUGAAAUGUUGGGUUAAGUCCCGCAACGAGCGCAACCCUUAUCCUUUGUUGCCAGCGGUCCGGCCGGGAACUCAAAGGAGACUGCCAGUGAUAAACUGGAGGAAGGUGGGGGAUGACGUCAAGUCAUCAUGGCCCUUACGACCAGGGCUACACACGUGCUACAAUGGCAUAUACAAAGAGAAGCGACCUCGCGAGAGCAAGCGGACCUCAUAAAGUAUGUCGUAGUCCGGAUUGGAGUCUGCAACUCGACUCCAUGAAGUCGGAAUCGCUAGUAAUCGUAGAUCAGAAUGCUACGGUGAAUACGUUCCCGGGCCUUGUACACACCGCCCGUCACACCAUGGGAGUGGGUUGCAAAAGAAGUAGGUAGCUUAACCUUCGGGAGGGCGCUUACCACUUUGUGAUUCAUGACUGGGGUGAAGUCGUAACAAGGUAACCGUAGGGGAACCUGCGGUUGGAUCACCUCCUUA
RNAcentral lists this ribosomal RNA (1540 nucleotides) under Klebsiella pneumoniae subsp. pneumoniae. Its description in RNAcentral is "bacterial SSU rRNA". It matches the Rfam family "Bacterial small subunit ribosomal RNA". Lineage: Bacteria; Pseudomonadati; Pseudomonadota; Gammaproteobacteria; Enterobacterales; Enterobacteriaceae. The record is from RNAcentral.